UGCGGAAGGAUCAUUACUGAGAGUACCGGGCUCUGCCUGGCUACUUUUACCCAUGUUUUUAGAGUACCAAAAGUUUCCUCGGCGGCUCUAGCCCGCCGGUCGGACUCCAUUCAAACCCUUUGCAGUUGCAGUCAGCGUCUGAUAAACAAAAUAAUUACAACUUUCAACAACGGAUCUCUUGGUUCUGGCAUCGAUGAAGAACGCAGCGAAAUGCGAUAAGUAGUGUGAAUUGCAGAAUUCAGUGAAUCAUCGAAUCUUUGAACGCACAUUGCACCUCUCGGUAUUCCGGGAGGUAUGCCUGUUCGAGCGUCAUUUGUACCCUCAAGCUCUGCUUGGUGUUGGGUGUUUGUUCCGCCUUUGCGUGUGAACUCGCCCUAAAACAAUUGGCAGCCGGCGUACUUGUUUCGGAGCGCAGCACAUUUUGCGUUCAGAUCAGUGUACACUGGCACCCAAGAAGCCUUAUUUUAACGCUCUUGACCUCGGAUCAGGUAGGGAUACCCGCUGAACUUAAGCAUAUCAAUAA
This 523-nucleotide ribosomal RNA is filed under the name Wilsonomyces carpophilus. Its description in RNAcentral is "eukaryotic LSU rRNA". The stretch from base 159 to 312 matches the Rfam family "5.8S ribosomal RNA". Lineage: Eukaryota; Fungi; Ascomycota; Dothideomycetes. The record is from RNAcentral.